Molecule: transfer RNA, 73 nt
Filed under: Cordylochernes scorpioides
Lineage: Eukaryota; Metazoa; Arthropoda; Arachnida; Pseudoscorpiones; Chernetidae
Description: tRNA-Thr
Rfam family: tRNA
About the family: Transfer RNA (tRNA) molecules are approximately 80 nucleotides in length. Their secondary structure includes four short double-helical elements and three loops (D, anti-codon, and T loops).
Source: RNAcentral
UCCAGGGUAGCCUAGUGGACAUGGCAUCUGCCCGGUAAGUGGAACAUUGUGGGUUCGAUUCCCAUCCCUGGAC